This 222-nucleotide non-coding RNA is filed under the name Cystobacter fuscus. The record is from RNAcentral. Lineage: Bacteria; Pseudomonadati; Myxococcota; Myxococcia; Myxococcales; Archangiaceae.
AUCCCCACUGCCGUCCUUGGUUCUUCCACCGGGUGGUGGAGGCUUGAGGGAAUCCGGUGCGACUCCGGGACUGCCCCGCAGCGGUGAACGGGAACGAAAGCUGUCAGAAGGCACUGGCCCUCCGGCGAGGGCUGGGAAGCGACGGCCGGUAGGACGGGGGGACUCUGUCGAGAGCCGCCCAUGCCCGUGAGUCCGAAGACCUGCCAGGGACCCGUGCCAGUG